UACAGAGGGGGCAAGCGUUAUUCGGAAUUAUUGGGCGUAAAGGGCGCGUAGGCGGCUUUGCAAGUGGCGGGUGAAAUCCCUCGGCUUAACCGAGGAACUGCCUGUCAAACUGCAUGGCUUGAGACCAGGAGAGGUGAGUGGAAUUCCCAGUGUAGCGGUGAAAUGCGUAGAUAUCGGGAAGAACACCCGUGGCGAAGGCGGCACUCUGGGACGGUACUGACGCUGAGACGCGAAAGCGUGGGGAGCGAACAGG
Molecule: ribosomal RNA, 253 nt
Filed under: uncultured bacterium
Lineage: Bacteria
Description: partial 16S ribosomal RNA
Rfam family: Bacterial small subunit ribosomal RNA
Source: RNAcentral